AACUAAAUUAAAAACUUUUUGUUUUAUUAUUUUUGAAAAAUUUCCUAACAUCUGUAAUUAUGCAGCUGGCUGUAAUCGCAUUCGAUAAUUGAUUAUUAUUAUUAUGGCUAAUUGACUGUAUACUUUUAGAUUCUGUAUUGGUUUUACAGUGAUGUUUAUUUUGUUUUUCUGUGAACAACUUUUCUACUAGAAAUUUUGCUCCGAUUUUCAAGUGUAGCACUUUUACUGAAAGGAAAUCUGUCUACGGUGGUACUUUAGGGCUGUCAUUUUUUGAUAUUCUCAGGGGUUUUCAAAUUAAAAGG
Cinara cedri is the source of this 302-nucleotide non-coding RNA. Lineage: Eukaryota; Metazoa; Arthropoda; Insecta; Hemiptera; Aphididae. The record is from the annotation of a GenBank genome assembly.